CGGUGAAUACGUUCCCGGACCUUGUACACACCGCCCGUCAAGCGAUGGAAGUUGGGAGGACCUGAAGACAGUUGUUGUAAGACGCUGUUUAGGGUAAACUAGUAACUGGGGCU
This 113-nucleotide ribosomal RNA is filed under the name uncultured bacterium. RNAcentral's name for it is "partial 16S ribosomal RNA". It matches the Rfam family "Bacterial small subunit ribosomal RNA", at positions 1360 to 1482 of the family's 1533-position model. The record is from RNAcentral.